This 460-nucleotide ribosomal RNA is filed under the name uncultured bacterium. RNAcentral's name for it is "partial 16S ribosomal RNA". It matches the Rfam family "Bacterial small subunit ribosomal RNA", at positions 338 to 795 of the family's 1533-position model. The record is from RNAcentral.
CCUACGGGUGGCAGCAGUGAGGAAUAUUGGUCAAUGGACGCAAGUCUGAACCAGCCAUGCCGCGUGCAGGAAGACGGCUCUAUGAGUUGUAAACUGCUUUUGUACGAGGGUAAACGCAGAUACGCGUAUCUGUCUGAAAGUAUCGUACGAAUAAGGAUCGGCUAACUCCGUGCCAGCAGCCGCGGUAAUACGGAGGAUUCAAGCGUUAUCCGGAUUUAUUGGGGUUAAAGGGUGCGUAGGCGGUCGGAUAAGUUAGAGGUGAAAUCCCGGGGCUCAACUUCGGAAUUGCCGCUGAUACUGUUCGGCUUGAGAGGAGGAGCGGUAGGCGGAAUGUGUGGUGUAGCGGUGAAAUGCUUAGAGAUCAGACAGAACACCGAUUGCGAAGGCAGCUUACCAAGCUACUUCUGACGUUGAGGCACGAAAGCGUGGGGAGCAAACAGGAUUAGAUACCCGUGUAGUC